RNAcentral lists this long non-coding RNA (2921 nucleotides) under Citrus sinensis (sweet orange). RNAcentral describes it as "long non-coding RNA (CSIN_LNC002980)". The record is from RNAcentral. Lineage: Eukaryota; Viridiplantae; Streptophyta; Magnoliopsida; Sapindales; Rutaceae.
UUUUGCAGGUUGUUGCAACCAAUUUUUCUCACCUUCAUUUGCAUCAGCAUUCUAAAAACGCUAUUCAUAAUCCUUAUGCUCAAAAUGCACAACAGUAGAGUCAUGAGUAACCGGUUCUUCUUCUUCAUCUUCUCUCUAGCUCAACAUUUUGCUAGACAAGGAACCUCUAUCACUUGAUGUUUAUGCAAUUGCCACAAAACAUUAAAUCUAUUUUUGCAUUAUGACAUAAAACAUGCCAUGCAACUGUUUCUUAAAACUGAAAUAUUUUGUUUUCCCUUCUUUUUAUUGCAGGAAUAUUCCUACACAAGAACCUGUUGCUUCAGUUGGAGGAAAUCCUUUCGCAUAAUAUUUUCCUGGCAGGAAUGCUGUUUUCGUACUUCUCUGUCAGGUAGUUGGAGUUUCCUAGUGACUAAUUGUAGUGUCUUUCUGUAUCCCAGAAUGAAAAAAGUUAUUUAUAUUAUUAUUUUUGUAUUCUUUGCCAAAAUAAAAUCUUGAUGUGAAUAACUUCCCACUAAAUUUUCAAGUACAUCAUAUAUGUAUGUAUUUGUUUUAUGUCAUUUGAACUGGUGGUAUGCUAGCUAAUGUAGCUACAGGGGUUGAAUUCGUAAGGUCCUUUCGAUUGGACCCACGAUGUGAAUACAUUUCUGGUCAUUAUUGUCAUUAUUAUUAUUACAUUUCAACCAGUCCACUAGGUUUUUGGAAGAAUCAAAUGGAUAAUGCUUAAUGGACUGCGAGUUUCAGUUCUGCUACUAGGCUGGUUUUGAUAUUCUUUAGAAAUAUGUGGGAUGAUAAGCCUGAAUUGGUUGUAAUAAAGUUUAUCCAUUGCUUUUGAACAGUCAUGGAAUGCUUUUGAUGAUUUCACCAGCCAUCUUCCCUCGGAGGGUUUUAAGCCAAAUAGUGAACCCCAUGUAGAUGCGUACAUGCCUUCACCAACUCCAGAUCAGUAUUUGGCAAUAGUUUCCCAGGUUGCUGCAUCAACAACAUGAUUUUUUUGAAGGCCUCUGUUGUCUCUGAGUUUUCUGCCCCCCACUUUUUUUUUUGUAAUUGGUUUUCCAUCAAUUACUUUUCCUCAAUUUAUUCUUGCUUUGUUGUUAGCAUGAGACUAAUGAUGAUGGAAAUCCGAGAGUUGCCUCCCAUGAUGGACCCCCCAACAUGACGGUACCAUCUCAGGCUGACAUGGGCCCAUCUUAUAACCCAUCAAUGUUUCCUCUAAUGGUUUGUGUUAAAUUUUUCUGUAUGUUUUAGCUUCUUUAUUCUUGCUGAAUUAUCGUGCAUGUGUCUAAUCUUGCAUUUUUAUUUUGGGUCUAGGGACAGAUGCGGACACAUGCAACUGAACAUAAGUCAACAAAUCCAUUUGAUUUUCCUUGUGAUUCUGAUUUGGAGCAGAAUAAUAUGGUAUGGCCUAGAUUUUUAAUUUGUUAACAAAAUAUUGACACUGCGGUAGUAGCACUCCCCAAUAAUUUAACGUAAUUUGUUCUGGAAGUGAUCUUUCUUCUUUAGUUCUUAGUCAUGUUGCCAUCUCUCUGUAAGUAUUGCUUCUUAUACUUGUAUAAUAAAAAAUUGAUGAUUAUAUAUCUACUUAAAGCAAUGGCAUCAUUAAUUUACAUGACUUGCUUGUUUGUUUAUUGGGCAGGUUGGUGUAAUAUUUCCUCAUUUUUUUUUUAAUGGAGCUAUAACAUAUAUGGUCUUUACCUAACUUUGCUCAAGCAUUCAUGUUUGAAAAGGCAAUGCAUUUUUUCAUUUACAUUAGGUUUUUCUAUGCUAUGAAUAUUGUUUCUACUUAGUUGAAAAAAAAAAAAUUGGAAUAUUGCUUCUACUCUUUUCUUUUUUCCCUUUUCUUGGUGGAUAAGAUGUUUACAUAUUUAAGAAUUGAGUUGAUUCUGGAUGAUAUGGAUUCUGUAUGUCUUGCUGUAAAAAUAACAAAUCAGUCGCUUGCUGAGGAGAAGCAAGCUGGUCACAAUAUCCAUUUGCAGUUUGUCUAAUUGCUUGCAGGGGAAGGGACUAUUAAAUUUUGGAUUUGUUGUUCCUGAUUUCAUUUGGUUGAACAUCAUAAUAUGCAGUUCUUGGACAUGAGCUCUCUGCAAGCUGCACUUCCAAAUUCAGAGUUGCCAUCCCCCUUCCUUGGUGGUGCAACUCAAUCAUGGUUUCCUCAAAAUCCAGUGAGUCCUUUUGUCCAGGCAGCAGCCCAAGGUAAAUGUUCUGCGACUGUUGCGAUGGAAAUUUGACAGUAACAUUUAGAACUGUUGUUAUUAGAACUGUGUUUGCUAAUGGUAGUUUACACAGCAUAUUAUUGGAUAAUGUGAGACUGUGUAGACAUCUUAAUAUCUUCAACAAGUCUUUUUGCAUUUGUCUUCCCAAUGAUUUUUUUUUAUGGUUUUUUUUCUGUAGGUGGCUUAGCGUACAUGUCAGGACAAUCACCAUCAGCACAAUUAGCGUAAGUCACUUUGCUGCUCUUGUUAUGCUUUUGCAGGUUGUUGCAACCAAUUUUUCUCACCUUCAUUUGCAUCAGCAUUCUAAAAACGCUAUUCAUAAUCCUUAUGCUCAAAAUGCACAACAGUAGAGUCAUGAGUAACCGGUUCUUCUUCUUCAUCUUCUCUCUAGCUCAACAUUUUGCUAGACAAGGAACCUCUAUCACUUGAUGUUUAUGCAAUUGCCACAAAACAUUAAAUCUAUUUUUGCAUUAUGACAUAAAACAUGCCAUGCAACUGUUUCUUAAAACUGAAAUAUUUUGUUUUCCCUUCUUUUUAUUGCAGGAAUAUUCCUACACAAGAACCUGUUGCUUCAGUUGGAGGAAAUCCUUUCGCAUAAUAUUUUCCUGGCAGGAAUGCUGUUUUCGUACUUCUCUGUCAGGUAGUUGGAGUUUCCUAGUGACUAAUUGUAGUGUCUUUCUGUAUCCCAGAAUGAAAAAAGUUAUUUAUAUU